RNAcentral lists this unclassified non-coding RNA (395 nucleotides) under soil metagenome. Its description in RNAcentral is "partial contains 5.8S ribosomal RNA, internal transcribed spacer 2, and large subunit ribosomal RNA". The stretch from base 1 to 120 matches the Rfam family "5.8S ribosomal RNA", at positions 35 to 154 of the family's 154-position model. The record is from RNAcentral.
GAUGAAGAACGUAGUGAAAUGCGAUAAGUAAUGUGAAUUGCAGAAUUCAGUGAAUCAUCGAAUCUUUGAACGCACCUUGCGCUCCUUGGUAUUCCGAGGAGCAUGCCUGUUUGAGUGUCAUUAAAUUCUCAAUCAUUAUCAACUUUUGCUGAUAAUGGCUUGGAUGUGGGGGUCUAUUUUGCUGGCUUCUCAGAUAGUCAGCUCCCCUUAAAUGCAUUAGCCGGUGCCCCGCGUGGACUGUCUAUUGGUGUGAUAAUUAUCUACGCUAUAGACAUCUGCAAUCAUAUGGGUUUGCGCUGCUUCUAACAGUCUGUUGAUUCAGACAAUACAUGACAAUUUGACCUCAAAUCAGGUAGGACUACCCGCUGAACUUAAGCAUAUCAAUAAGCGGAGGA